RNAcentral lists this ribosomal RNA (1451 nucleotides) under uncultured organism. RNAcentral describes it as "SSU rRNA". It matches the Rfam family "Bacterial small subunit ribosomal RNA". The record is from RNAcentral.
UAGCUACAGGCUUAACACAUGCAAGUCGAGGGGCAGCAUGGUCUUAGCUUGCUAAGGCCGAUGGCGACCGGCGCACGGGUGAGUAACACGUAUCCAACCUGCCGUCUACUCUUGGACAGCCUUCUGAAAGGAAGAUUAAUACAAGAUGGCAUCAUGAGUCCACAUGUUCACAUGAUUAAAGGUAUUCCGGUAGACGAUGGGGAUGCGUUCCAUUAGAUAGUAGGCGGGGUAACGGCCCACCUAGUCUUCGAUGGAUAGGGGUUCUGAGAGGAAGGUCCCCCACAUUGGAACUGAGACACGGUCCAAACUCCUACGGGAGGCAGCAGUGAGGAAUAUUGGUCAAUGGGCGAGAGCCUGAACCAGCCAAGUAGCGUGAAGGAUGACUGCCCUAUGGGUUGUAAACUUCUUUUAUAAAGGAAUAAAGUCGGGUAUGCAUACCCGUUUGCAUGUACUUUAUGAAUAAGGAUCGGCUAACUCCGUGCCAGCAGCCGCGGUAAUACGGAGGAUCCGAGCGUUAUCCGGAUUUAUUGGGUUUAAAGGGAGCGUAGAUGGAUGUUUAAGUCAGUUGUGAAAGUUUGCGGCUCAACCGUAAAAUUGCAGUUGAUACUGGAUAUCUUGAGUGCAGUUGAGGCAGGCGGAAUUCGUGGUGUAGCGGUGAAAUGCUUAGAUAUCACGAAGAACUCCGAUUGCGAAGGCAGCCUGCUAAGCUGCAACUGACAUUGAGGCUCGAAAGUGUGGGUAUCAAACAGGAUUAGAUACCCUGGUAGUCCACACGGUAAACGAUGAAUACUCGCUGUUUGCGAUAUACGGCAAGCGGCCAAGCGAAAGCGUUAAGUAUUCCACCUGGGGAGUACGCCGGCAACGGUGAAACUCAAAGGAAUUGACGGGGGCCCGCACAAGCGGAGGAACAUGUGGUUUAAUUCGAUGAUACGCGAGGAACCUUACCCGGGCUUAAAUUGCAGAUGAAUUACGGUGAAAGCCGUAAGCCGCAAGGCAUCUGUGAAGGUGCUGCAUGGUUGUCGUCAGCUCGUGCCGUGAGGUGUCGGCUUAAGUGCCAUAACGAGCGCAACCCUUGUUGUCAGUUACUAACAGGUUCCGCUGAGGACUCUGACAAGACUGCCAUCGUAAGAUGUGAGGAAGGUGGGGAUGACGUCAAAUCAGCACGGCCCUUACGUCCGGGGCUACACACGUGUUACAAUGGGGGGUACAGAGGGCCGCUACCACGCGAGUGGAUGCCAAUCCCCAAAACCUCUCUCAGUUCGGACUGGAGUCUGCAACCCGACUCCACGAAGCUGGAUUCGCUAGUAAUCGCGCAUCAGCCACGGCGCGGUGAAUACGUUCCCGGGCCUUGUACACACCGCCCGUCAAGCCAUGGGAGCCGGGGGUACCUGAAGUGCGUAACCGCGAGGAGCGCCCUAGGGUAAAACUGGUGACUGGGGCUAAGUCAUAAC